Long non-coding RNA from Hypanus sabinus (Atlantic stingray), 153 nucleotides. RefSeq lists it as uncharacterized. The transcript has 3 exons. The record is from RefSeq and is a predicted model, not a curated record. Lineage: Eukaryota; Metazoa; Chordata; Chondrichthyes; Myliobatiformes; Dasyatidae.
UACGUCGUCUCUGUGGAAUGCAUGGGUUUUCUCCAGGUCUUCUGGUUUCUUACCACGGCCCAAAGACACACCAAGAUAGUUCAAUAAUUUUUCCAAUGAACACAAUGAGAUUCGAGAGAGCUGCGGAAACAGAAUCAGGAGAAUGAGUUACCA